GACAAACGCUGGCGGCGUGCCUAAUACAUGCAAGUCGAACGGGGCAUGGGGUUUCGGCCUCAGGCUUACGUGGCGGACGGGUGAGGAACGCGUGGAUGACCUGCCCAGCAGUGGGGGAUAGCCUACAGAAAUGUGGGGUAAUACCGCAUGCGGUGGUGAUGCUAGGACAUCACCAGGAAAGCUGCCCGCAAGGGUUGGCGCUGGUGGAGGGGUUUGCGUCCGAUUAGCUAGUUGGUGGGGUAAAGGCCUACCAAGGCGUCGAUCGGUAGCUGGUCUG
Molecule: ribosomal RNA, 277 nt
Filed under: uncultured bacterium
Lineage: Bacteria
Description: partial 16S ribosomal RNA
Rfam family: Bacterial small subunit ribosomal RNA
Source: RNAcentral